GAUGAACGCUGGCGGCGUGCUUAACACAUGCAAGUCGAACGAAACACCUUAUUUGAUUUUCUUCGGAACUGAAGAUUUGGUGAUUGAGUGGCGGACGGGUGAGUAACGCGUGGGUAACCUGCCCUGUACAGGGGGGAUAACAGUUAGAAAUGACUGCAAAUACCGAAUAAGACCACAGCACCGCAUGGUGCAGGGGUAAAAACGCCGGUGGUACAGGAUGGACCCGCGUCUGAUUAGCUGGUUGGUGAGGUAACGGCUCACCAAGGCGACGAUCAGUAGCCGGCUUGAGAGAGUGAACGGCCACAUUGGGACUGAGACACGGCCCAAACUCCUACGGGAGGCAGCAGUGGGGAAUAUUGCACAAUGGGGGAAACCCUGAUGCAGCGACGCCGCGUGAGUGAAGAAGUAUCUCGGUAUGUAAAGCUCUAUCAGCAGGGAAGAAAAUGACGGUACCUGACUAAGAAGCCCCGGCUAACUACGUGCCAGCCGCCGCAGUAA
Molecule: ribosomal RNA, 498 nt
Filed under: uncultured bacterium
Lineage: Bacteria
Description: partial 16S ribosomal RNA
Rfam family: Bacterial small subunit ribosomal RNA
Source: RNAcentral